AUACGUAGGGAGCGAGCGUUGUCCGGAUUUAUUGGGCGUAAAGGGCUUGUAGGCGGUUUGUUGCGUCUGCCGUGAAAUUCCCUGGCUUAACUGGGGGCGUGCGGUGGGUACGGGCAGGCUUGAGUGCGGUAGGGGAGACUGGAAUUCCUGGUGUAGCGGUGGAAUGCGCAGAUAUCAGGAGGAACACCGGUGGCGAAGGCGGGUCUCUGGGCCGUUACUGACGCUGAGGAGCGAAAGCGUGGGGAGCGAACAGGAUUAGAUACCCUGGUAGUCCAUGCUGUAAACGUUGGGCACUAGGUGUGGGGGCCUCCCUUGGUUUCUGCGCCGUAGCUAACGCUUUAAGUGCCCCGCCUGGGGAGUACGGCCGCAAGGCUAAA
Molecule: ribosomal RNA, 377 nt
Filed under: uncultured bacterium
Lineage: Bacteria
Description: bacterial SSU rRNA
Rfam family: Bacterial small subunit ribosomal RNA
Source: RNAcentral